AUGCUUUUCUCUCAUGUCUUUCUUUCGUUUAUGGUUCAAUAUUCUGGUGUCCUAGGCGUAGAGGAACCACACCAAACCAUCCCGAACUUGGUGGUUAAACUCUACUGCGGUGACAAUACUGGUACUCCGGGGAACAGAUCUAGUGGAGACAGGGUGGGGCCUGUAGCUCAGAGGAUUAGAGUACGUGGCUACGAACCACGGUGUCGGGGGUUCGAAUCCCUCCUCGCCCACAAGCGGCUAAAAGGGGAAGGACCUUGGGGAUAA
Non-coding RNA from Vicia faba (fava bean), 264 nucleotides. The record is from the annotation of a GenBank genome assembly. NCBI's taxonomy places the organism in Eukaryota, Viridiplantae, Streptophyta, Magnoliopsida, Fabales, Fabaceae.